ACGGUCUCUGAGAGGAGAAGCCCGGUGAUGUCUUGUGACACACACCCCCACCCCCUAUGGGGCGCAGCGGGCGAGAAACCUUUGCAAUGUGCGCAAGCACGACAAGGUUAAUCCGAGUGUUUCCUGCUAAAGGAAUCUUUUGUUAGUUCUAAAACCACUGAUGAAUAAGGGGUGGGCAAGUUCUGGUGUCAGCCGCCGCGGUAAAACCAGCACCUCAAGUGGUCAGGAGGAUUAUUGGGCCUAAAGCAUCCGUAGCCGGUUCUGUAAGUUUCCGGUUAAAUCCACUAGCUCAACUAAUGGGCUGCCGGAAAUACUGCAGAACUAGGGAGUGGGAGAGGUAGACGGUACUCGGGAGGAAGGGGUAAAAUCCUUUGAUCUCUUGAUGACCACCUGUGGCGAAGGCGGUCUACCAGAACACGUUCGACGGUGAGGGAUGAAAGCUGGGGGAGCAAACCGGAUUAGAUACCCGGGUAGUCCCAGCUGUAAACGAUGCAGACUCGGUGAUGCACUGGCUUUUGGCCAGUGCAGUGCCGCAGGGAAGCCGUUAAGUUUGCCGCCUGGGAAGUACGUACGCAAGUAUGAAACUUAAAGGAAUUNGCGGGGGAGCACCACAAGGGGUGAAGCCUGCGGUUCAAUUGGAUUCAACGCCGGAAA
RNAcentral lists this ribosomal RNA (654 nucleotides) under uncultured archaeon. RNAcentral describes it as "bacterial SSU rRNA". It matches the Rfam family "Archaeal small subunit ribosomal RNA", at positions 269 to 924 of the family's 1478-position model. The record is from RNAcentral.